RNAcentral lists this ribosomal RNA (433 nucleotides) under uncultured bacterium. RNAcentral describes it as "partial 16S ribosomal RNA". It matches the Rfam family "Bacterial small subunit ribosomal RNA", at positions 29 to 507 of the family's 1533-position model. The record is from RNAcentral.
AACGAACGCUGGCGGCAUGCCUAACACAUGCAAGUCGAACGAGACCUUCGGGUCUAGUGGCGCACGGGUGCGUAACGCGUGGGAACCUGCCCUUAGGUUCGGAAUAACUCCCCGAAAGGGGUGCUAAUACCGGAUAAUGUCUUCGGACCAAAGAUUUAUCGCCUUUGGAUGGGCCCGCGUUGGAUUAGCUAGUUGGUAGGGUAAAAGCCUACCAAGGCGACGAUCCAUAGCUGGUCUGAGAGGAUGAUCAGCCACUCUGGGACUGAGACACGGCCCAGACUCCUACGGGAGGCAGCAGUGGGGAAUAGAGGACCACCGGCGAAAGCCUGAUGCAGCAAUGCCGCGUGAGUGAUGAAGUCCUUAGGGUUGUAAAGCUCUUUUACCCGGGAUGAUAAUGACAGUACCGGGAGAAUAAGCCCCGGCUAACUCCGUG